AACGCUAGCUACAGGCUUAACACAUGCAAGUCGAGGGGCAGCAUUAGGUAGCAAUACUGAGAUGGCGACCGGCGCACGGGUGCGUAACGCGUAUCCAACCUUCCCGUUACUCUCGGAUAGCCUUCCGAAAGGGAGAUUAAUACGAGAUGGUGUUUGAAUUCCGCAUGUUAUUCAAACUAAAGAUUUAUCGGUAUCGGAUGGGGAUGCGUGACAUUAGAUAGUAGGCGGGGUAACGGCCCACCUAGCCGACGAUGGAUAGGGGUUCUGAGAGGAAGGUCCCCCACACUGGAACUGAGACACGGUCCAGACUCCUACGGGAGGCAGCAGUGAGGAAUAUUGGUCAAUGGGCGCAAGCCUGAACCAGCCAAGUAGCGUGAAGGAUGACUGCCCUAUGGGUUGUAAACUUCUUUUAUACGGGAACAAACUCCGGUACGUGUACCGGUCUGCGUGUACCGUAUGAAUAAGCAUCGGCUAACUCCGUGCCAGCAGCCGCGGUAAUACGGAAGGUCCGAGCGUUAUCCGGAUUUAUUGGGUUUAAAGGGAGCGUAGGCGGGCUGUUAAGCCAGCCGUCAAAUUGCGGGGCUCAACCCCGUAUCGCGGUUGGAACUGGCGGCCUUGAGUGGGCAAGAGGCGCGUGGAAUUCGUGGUGUAGCGGUGAAAUGCAUAGAUAUCACGAGGAACUCCGAUUGCGAAGGCAGCGCGCUGGGGCCUUACUGCCGCUGAUGCUCGAAGGCGCGGGUAUCAAACAGGAUUAGAUACCCUGGUAGUCCGCGCGGUAAACUAUGGACGCUCGCGGUGCGGGUCUUAGACUUACGCCGCCUAGCGAAAGCGUUAAGCGUCCCACCUGGGGAGUACGCCGGCAACGGUGAAACUCAAAGGAAUUGACGGGGGCCCGCACAAGCGGAGGAACAUGUGGUUUAAUUCGAUGAUACGCGAGGAACCUUACCCGGGCUUGAAAUGUGCAUGACAGGAAGCAGAGACGCUUCCCUCCUUCGGGCAUGCAUGUAGGUGCUGCAUGGUUGUCGUCAGCUCGUGCCGUGAGGUGUCGGCUUAAGUGC
This 1058-nucleotide ribosomal RNA is filed under the name uncultured Bacteroidales bacterium. RNAcentral describes it as "bacterial SSU rRNA". It matches the Rfam family "Bacterial small subunit ribosomal RNA", at positions 32 to 1087 of the family's 1533-position model. Lineage: Bacteria; Pseudomonadati; Bacteroidota; Bacteroidia; Bacteroidales. The record is from RNAcentral.